RNAcentral lists this ribosomal RNA (109 nucleotides) under uncultured eukaryote. Its description in RNAcentral is "partial small subunit ribosomal RNA". It matches the Rfam family "Eukaryotic small subunit ribosomal RNA", at positions 1676 to 1785 of the family's 1831-position model. The record is from RNAcentral.
UCGCUCCUACCGAUUGAGUGAUCCGGUGAAUAAUUUGGACUGCAACUAUGUUUGGUUCCUGAACAUUGUGGUGGGAAGUCUAAUGAACCUUAUCACUUAGAGGAAGGAG